CCUGGAAGCUGAAGGACAUGAGGUGUCAGUGCCACCACUGCAAGGCUCUAAGUGUCCAGGCAGCCACCACAGUGCAGACCAAGAAGCCUAAGGCAACAGUGGGCGCCCAGUCUCGAGUCCUUUCUCUACAUUUUGUGUAGACUGCAUGUCUUAGGUAAGUGACUGCUGCAGCAAAGGACUCUGCACAGCUAGAGGAAACAGAGUCCUGGAAGGAGAAGGGUGAGGGUGCCAGCUGGUCACUCCUCCUUUGCUCCCGGCUAAUGUAACUGCUGCGUGUUUGAUUUUCUCCAAAUCACAGGGGGCUUAAAUGGCAGGUGUUGUGCAGAUAAAACCCAAGUAGAGAUUAUGCAGCAGACUUGACCACACAGAGGCUGCACAAACACUCAAGGU
Long non-coding RNA from Neopsephotus bourkii (Bourke's parrot), 390 nucleotides. RefSeq lists it as uncharacterized. The transcript is spliced from 3 exons. The record is from RefSeq and is a predicted model, not a curated record. Lineage: Eukaryota; Metazoa; Chordata; Aves; Psittaciformes; Psittacidae.